This 238-nucleotide long non-coding RNA is filed under the name Helianthus annuus (common sunflower). Lineage: Eukaryota; Viridiplantae; Streptophyta; Magnoliopsida; Asterales; Asteraceae. The record is from RNAcentral.
AACACCAUUCAGUAAACAAAAUAACACCAUUCAGCAGUAAAAAAAACACCAUUCAGUACAAAAAAACACCAUUCAGAAAUAAAAUAUAACACCUCUGUAUCAUCUUCUUCACUUCCGGCACCACCACCACUGCCACUUCCGGCACCACCACUGCCGAUCCAACACCACCACCACCGCCGCCGCUCGAACCACCACAAUAAACAUGCGAUCUUCAUCAAUCGGAUCAAAAACCACAAAA